CAGUCAAUAAAAGAAAUGAGAAAACCAAGUUCAAAUAAGCUAAGUAAUAUGCCCAAGGUCACAGGUUUCUAAGGUUUUUUCUUUCUGAUCCCAUUGUUUGCCAUUAUGUUAUGCCAGUCUUGGUAAAUACAACACUAUACACUGGAUAUAAUCCAAAAGGUCUUUUCUAUGAUAUACUGCAGAUUUAAGCCAUCUUUGACUGGUUUUGAAGAGGUUAUCUUUUUCUGCCCAAGUUCAGGUAAUUCACUUGAAGAUUUUCCACAGCCUGUAGCAAGAUUACUGUGGGAAUGCAGAAAUGAUAAGUCAAUUAUUAAGCAUUUUGGUUGACAGUACUUCAGGCUUUAUAGAGCAAAUUAUUUCAGCAUUGCGUAUACUUAAGUAUGGACAGCAUUUGCUACAGACCUCCAUUACUGACAAAAGGCAGUACAGAUGGAUGUACUGUUUGAAUUUGUUAAUAUUUUAGUUGCAAAUUGUGAACCACUUGCCCGCUGAGUCUACUUCAUGACUGCUAGUUAUGUUUUAAUUGUGCCCGUUAAAAAUCAUGCUGAAAAAAUUUACAUUUGAUAGGCAAAGUUAAGUUUUACUCCCAUACUUGUCUCUCUGUAGGUUGCUAGAGGAAAGCAUAAGGAAAGUGAAAAAAAACAAGAGAAUGAAAAGAGAAGCUGCAGUUA
RNAcentral lists this long non-coding RNA (671 nucleotides) under Homo sapiens (human). RNAcentral describes it as "non-protein coding lnc-TTLL7-14:1". Lineage: Eukaryota; Metazoa; Chordata; Mammalia; Primates; Hominidae. The record is from RNAcentral.